RNAcentral lists this ribosomal RNA (483 nucleotides) under uncultured bacterium. Its description in RNAcentral is "bacterial SSU rRNA". It matches the Rfam family "Bacterial small subunit ribosomal RNA", at positions 8 to 536 of the family's 1533-position model. The record is from RNAcentral.
AGAGUUUGAUCCUGGCUCGAGCGAACGCUGGCGGCAGGCUUAACACAUGCAAGUCGAGCGGGCACCUUCGGGUGUCAGCGGCAGACGGGUGAGUAACACGUGGGAACGUACCCUUCGGUUCGGAAUAACGCUGGGAAACUAGCGCUAAUACCGGAUACGCCCUUAUGGGGAAAGGUUUACUGCCGAAGGAUCGGCCCGCGUCUGAUUAGCUAGUUGGUGGGGUAACGGCCUACCAAGGCGACGAUCAGUAGCUGGUCUGAGAGGAUGAUCAGCCACACUGGGACUGAGACACGGCCCAGACUCCUACGGGAGGCAGCAGUGGGGAAUAUUGGACAAUGGGCGCAAGCCUGAUCCAGCCAUGCCGCGUGAGUGAUGAAGGCCUUAGGGUUGUAAAGCUCUUUUGUCCGGGACGAUAAUGACGGUACCGGAAGAAUAAGCCCCGGCUAACUUCGUGCCAGCAGCCGCGGUAAUACGAAGGGGGCU